GGAAGACUGGCUGGGCCCAAGGAUCCAGCCACUCAUAGCCAGCCUCAAAUCUGGUUAUGAUGGAGAAGUGACCUAGCUCCAAGAUUGUGGCCCAAUGGGAGGAGAGCCGAGCAGAGGACUGCAUGGUGAGGAUGGCACUGGCAGGCAUGCAGCACCCCUCAAGGGAGCCCCCAGAAUGGGACUUCCUGGACAGCCACCCCAUCCACAUGGACUCCCUCCUGUACCCCUCUGGAGCCUGCAUUCCCGCCCUGCAGGAGGGGAUGGUACUAAGGUGAGCUCUGU
This 282-nucleotide long non-coding RNA is filed under the name Heterocephalus glaber (naked mole-rat). RNAcentral's name for it is "lncRNA (ENSHGLG00100032560.2)". The record is from RNAcentral. Lineage: Eukaryota; Metazoa; Chordata; Mammalia; Rodentia; Bathyergidae.